RNAcentral lists this long non-coding RNA (404 nucleotides) under Lynx canadensis (Canada lynx). Its description in RNAcentral is "lncRNA (ENSLCNG00005014268.1)". Lineage: Eukaryota; Metazoa; Chordata; Mammalia; Carnivora; Felidae. The record is from RNAcentral.
AAGAAUUGUGUCUACAAGGAAUUUCUUUUGACUUCCCAGUUUCAGAGCCUGCCCUACCCAGAGCCCAGAGUCCCCUGAGUCUUGUCCCAUCUGAGUGUUCAACCACAUUCUUCCUCACACGUUGGAAACUCUAAGUAGGCCUCAUUCUUUAAAGUUUCCAGAGGCCAGUUUGGUCAGUCUGUGCUUGGUGACUGCUGGUUUGAUGAAUGAAUGCAAGCAUGCAGAGAUGGCCCCUGAGAGCCCAGGUGCAACCACUCUCCAGUCGGGCCAAUUGGUCACAUAAUCAAUGGCUGGACACGAUGUUUCAAACCAGGGUCACAGAAGUAAGAAAACACCUUCAUAUCCAAGGAUCUCAAAGCACCUCUGGUGGAAACACAUAGCAAGGUAAAGGACGUCUGUUUAUU